UACAGAGGUCCCAAGCGUUGUUCGGAUUCACUGGGCGUAAAGGAUGCGUAGGCGGACAUUUAAGUCAGAUGUGAAAUACCCGAGCUUAACUUGGGUGCUGCAUUUGAAACUGGGUGUCUAGAGUGCAGGAGAGGUAAGUGGAAUUCCUAGUGUAGCGGUGAAAUGCGUAGAGAUUAGGAAGAACACCAGUGGCGAAGGCGACUUACUGGACUGUAACUGACGCUGAGGCAUGAAAGCGUGGGGAGCAAACAGG
This 253-nucleotide ribosomal RNA is filed under the name uncultured bacterium. RNAcentral's name for it is "partial 16S ribosomal RNA". It matches the Rfam family "Bacterial small subunit ribosomal RNA", at positions 524 to 776 of the family's 1533-position model. The record is from RNAcentral.